This 253-nucleotide ribosomal RNA is filed under the name uncultured bacterium. Its description in RNAcentral is "partial 16S ribosomal RNA". It matches the Rfam family "Bacterial small subunit ribosomal RNA", at positions 524 to 776 of the family's 1533-position model. The record is from RNAcentral.
UACGCAGGUGGCAAGCGUCGUCCGGAUUUAUUGGGCGUAAAGCGCUCGCAGGCGGUCUUUUAAGUCUGAUGUGAAAGCCCACGGCUUAACCGUGGAGGGUCAUUGGAAACUGGAGGACUUGAGUGCAGAAGAGGAGAGUGGAAUUCCAUGUGUAGCGGUGAAAUGCGUAGAGAUAUGGAGGAACACCGGUGGCGAAGGCGACUGCCUGGACGACACCUGACGCUGAGGCGCGAAAGCUAGGGGAGCAAACGGG